Long non-coding RNA from Gasterosteus aculeatus aculeatus (three-spined stickleback), 646 nucleotides. NCBI's taxonomy places the organism in Eukaryota, Metazoa, Chordata, Actinopteri, Perciformes, Gasterosteidae. The record is from Ensembl.
CUAGCAGCAAUCGUGAAGAUCUCCAGCGAGAGGGCAGUCGGCCAGGCUUGGUCACCCAGGGAGCAUCUACUCAAUGUGGGACACACACGCAUUCGUGAAAGUUAUCUUGAUUGCACGAGCUGCCACCAGCCUGCUUGAGCUCUAACUACAACUGGAGCAGAGGACAUGUCAACAAGCAUGGAAGGACUUUGAGUAUUCCCAGAAAACUAAAAGUGCAGAGAAAGCGUGGAUGUUGAUCAAUAUAAAACAGGUGUUCUGAUACGAGGCGGCAUUACCCUCCCGCCUGGCGAUGGACAUCAAUGGGGAAAAUCAUGAGCUAUAAAGCUUCCUAUGUGGCUCAAAAUGUGGGGCCAGUCCCUCCGGGGGCUUUAACACAGGUUAAGGCAUGUAUAGCUGUAAACCAGUUGGCAAAAACAAGUGGUGCUAAUCUGCUGAGACGGAACAACUGGGAGAAGCACCAUGUCACACUGCAACCUCUGAUGUGUGUGUGUGUGUGUGUGUGUGUUUGUGAUGAGAUGAGAUGGCCAAUGGAGACCCUGAGAGAGCAGGUUCCCAUGACCCGUACAGUCCAAUAGGAGGUCCCUUCAACACCACUUUGCCAAUGAGUGCACACAAAUAAUCACACAAUCAUCACACAGACACACAC